This 421-nucleotide ribosomal RNA is filed under the name uncultured bacterium. RNAcentral describes it as "partial 16S ribosomal RNA". It matches the Rfam family "Bacterial small subunit ribosomal RNA", at positions 360 to 773 of the family's 1533-position model. The record is from RNAcentral.
AAUCUUCCACAAUGGACGAAAGUCUGAUGGCGCAACGCCGCGUGAGUGAAGAAGGAUUNCGGUUCNUNAAACUCUGUUGCAAGGGNAGAACAAGUAGCGUAGUAACUGGCGCUACCUGGACGGUACCGUGGUAGAAAGCCACGGCUAACUACGCGCCGGCAGCCGCGGUAGUACGUAGGUGGCAAGCGUUGUCCGGAAUUAUUGGGCGUAAAGCGCUCGCAGGUGGUUCCUUAAGUAUGAUGUGAAAGCCCCCGGCUCAACCGGGGAGGGUCAUUGGAAACUGGGGAACUUGAGUGCAGAAGAGGAUAGUGGAAUUCCAAGUGUAGCGGUGAAAUGCGUAGAGAUUUGGAGGAACACCAGUGGCGAAGGCGACUGUCUGGUCUGUAACUGACACUGAGGCGCGAAAGCGUGGGGAGCAAAC